GAUGAAGAACGUAGCGAAAUGCGAUAAGUAAUGUGAAUUGCAGCAUUCAGUGAAUCAUCGAAUCUUUGAACGCACAUUGCGCCCGCCAGUAUUCUGGCGGGCAUGCCUGUUCGAGCGUCAUUUCAACCAUCAAGCCCCAGGCUUGUGUUGGGGACCUGCGGCUGCCGCAGGCCCUGAAAACCAGUGGCGGGCUCGCUGUCACACCGGGCGUAGUAGAUUUUAUCUCGCUCAGGGCGUGCUGCGGGUUCCGGCCGUUAAAAAGCCUUUUUUACCCAAGGUUGACCUCGGAUCAGGUAGGAAGACCCGCUGAACUUAAGCAUAUCAAUAAGCGGAGGA
This 336-nucleotide unclassified non-coding RNA is filed under the name soil metagenome. RNAcentral's name for it is "partial contains 5.8S ribosomal RNA, internal transcribed spacer 2, and large subunit ribosomal RNA". The stretch from base 1 to 120 matches the Rfam family "5.8S ribosomal RNA", at positions 35 to 154 of the family's 154-position model. The record is from RNAcentral.